ACUCCUACGGGAGGCAGCAGUGGGAAUAUUGCACAAUGGGAAACCGUAGCAUGCAGCCAUGCCGCGUGUGUGAAGAAGGCCUUCGGGUUGUAAAAGCACUUUCAGUCGUGAGGAAAGGGUUGUAGUUAAUACCUGCAAUCUGUGACGUUAGCGACAGAAGAAGCACCGGCUAACUCCGUGCCAGCAGCCGCGGUAAUACGUAGGUGGCAAGCGUUAUCCGGAAUUAUUGGGCGUAAAGCGCAUGUAGGCGGCUCUUUAAGUCUGAUGUGAAAGCCUGUGGCUCAACCACAGAAUUGCAUUGGAUACUGGAGAGCUAGAAUCUUGGAGAGGUAAGUGGAAUUUCAUGUGUAGCGGUGGAAUGCGUAGAUAUAUGAAGGAACACCAAUGGCGAAGGCAGCUUACUGGACAAGUAUUGACGCUGAGAUGCGAAAGUGUGGUAGCAACAGGAUUAGAUA
RNAcentral lists this ribosomal RNA (455 nucleotides) under uncultured bacterium. RNAcentral describes it as "bacterial SSU rRNA". It matches the Rfam family "Bacterial small subunit ribosomal RNA", at positions 335 to 784 of the family's 1533-position model. The record is from RNAcentral.